RNAcentral lists this transfer RNA (72 nucleotides) under Sus scrofa (pig). It matches the Rfam family "tRNA". From Rfam's summary of the family: Transfer RNA (tRNA) molecules are approximately 80 nucleotides in length. Their secondary structure includes four short double-helical elements and three loops (D, anti-codon, and T loops). Further hydrogen bonds mediate the characteristic L-shaped molecular structure. tRNAs have two regions of fundamental functional importance: the anti-codon, which is responsible for specific mRNA codon recognition, and the 3' end, to which the tRNAs corresponding amino acid is attached (by aminoacyl-tRNA synthetases). tRNAs cope with the degeneracy of the genetic code in two manners: having more than one tRNA (with a specific anti-codon) for a particular amino acid; and 'wobble' base-pairing, i.e. permitting non-standard base-pairing at the 3rd anti-codon position. The record is from Rfam by way of RNAcentral. Lineage: Eukaryota; Metazoa; Chordata; Mammalia; Artiodactyla; Suidae.
UCCCUGGUGGUCUGGUGGUGAGGACUUAGUGUUUUCACUCCUGCAGCCUGGGUUCAAUCCCUGGUCUGGGAA